This 402-nucleotide ribosomal RNA is filed under the name uncultured bacterium. RNAcentral's name for it is "bacterial SSU rRNA". It matches the Rfam family "Bacterial small subunit ribosomal RNA", at positions 355 to 773 of the family's 1533-position model. The record is from RNAcentral.
UGAGGAAUUUUCGGCAAUGGGGGCAACCCUGACCGAGCAACGCCGCGUGCAGGACGAAGGUUUUCGGAUCGUAAACUGCUUUUCUUGGGGACGAGAGCGGACGGUACCCAAGGAAUCAGCCCCGGCUAACUACGUGCCAGCAGCCGCGGUAAUACGUAGGGGGCGAGCGUUAUCCGGAGUUACUGGGCGUAAAGGGCACGCAGGCGGUCGUGUAAGUUUGGGGCUACAGCUCCCGGCUCAACUGGGAGAGCGCCUUGAAGACUGCAGGACUUGAGGGCCACAGAGGGACACAGAAUUCCGGGUGGAGUGGUGAAAUGCGUAGAUAUCCGGAGGAAUACCAAAGGCGAAGGCAGUGUCCUGGGUGGCACCUGACGCUCAGGUGCGAAAGCUAGGGGAGCGAAC